GACGAACGCUGGCGGCGUGCUUAACACAUGCCAGUCGAACGGAAAGGCCUCUUUCGGGGGGUACUCGAGUGGCGAACGGGUGAGUAACACGUGAGUAACCUGCCCUUGACUUUGGGAUAACUUCAGGAAACUGGGGCUAAUACCGGAUAGGAGCUCCUGCUGCAUGGUGGGGGUUGGAAAGUUUCGGCGGUUGGGGAUGGACUCGCGGCUUAUCAGCUUGUUGGUGGGGUAGUGGCUUACCAAGGCUUUGACGGGUAGCCGGCCUGAGAGGGUGACCGGCCACAUUGGGACUGAGAUACGGCCCAGACUCCUACGGGAGGCAGCAGUGGGGAAUAUUGCACAAUGGGUGGAAGCCUGAUGCAGCAACGCCGUGUGCGGGAUGACGGCCUUCGGGUUGUAAACCGCUUUCGCUCAUGACGAAGCUUUGUGUGACGGUAGUGGGUAAAGAAGCACCGGCUAACUACGG
This 466-nucleotide ribosomal RNA is filed under the name uncultured bacterium. Its description in RNAcentral is "partial 16S ribosomal RNA". It matches the Rfam family "Bacterial small subunit ribosomal RNA", at positions 28 to 506 of the family's 1533-position model. The record is from RNAcentral.